RNAcentral lists this ribosomal RNA (253 nucleotides) under uncultured bacterium. RNAcentral's name for it is "partial 16S ribosomal RNA". It matches the Rfam family "Bacterial small subunit ribosomal RNA", at positions 524 to 776 of the family's 1533-position model. The record is from RNAcentral.
UACAGAGGGUGCGAGCGUUAAUCGGAAUUACUGGGCGUAAAGCGCACGUAGGCGGCUUGGUAUGUCGGGUGUGAAAUCCCCGGGCUCAACCUGGGAACUGCAUCCGAAACUGCCUUGCUAGAGUAUGGGAGAGGGAAGUGGAAUUUCCGGUGUAGCGGUGAAAUGCGUAGAUAUCGGAAGGAACAUCAGUGGCGAAGGCGCCUUCCUGGACCAAUACUGACGCUCAGGUGCGAAAGCGUGGGGAGCAAACAGG